CAGGCCUAACACAUGCAAGUCGAACGAUGACUCUCUAGCUUGCUAGAGAUGAUUAGUGGCGGACGGGUGAGUAACAUUUAGGAAUCUGCCUAGUAGUGGGGGAUAGCUCGGGGAAACUCGAAUUAAUACCGCAUACGACCUACGGGUGAAAGGGGGCGCAAGCUCUUGCUAUUAGAUGAGCCUAAAUCAGAUUAGCUAGUUGGUGGGGUAAAGGCCCACCAAGGCGACGAUCUGUAACUGGUCUGAGAGGAUGAUCAGUCACACCGGAACUGAGACACGGUCCGGACUCCUACGGGAGGCAGCAGUGGGGAAUAUUGGACAAUGGGGGCAACCCUGAUCCAGCCAUGCCGCGUGUGUGAAGAAGGCCUUUUGGUUGUAAAGCACUUUAAGCAGGGAGGAGAGGCUAAUGGUUGAUACCCAUUAGAUUAGACGUUACCUGCAGAAUAAGCACCGGCUAACUCUGUGCCAGCAGCCGCGGUAAU
Molecule: ribosomal RNA, 482 nt
Filed under: uncultured bacterium
Lineage: Bacteria
Description: bacterial SSU rRNA
Rfam family: Bacterial small subunit ribosomal RNA
Source: RNAcentral